GAGAACCGUUGUGGCGAGCGCUACACGAGGCAAACGACUUCUCCCUUCUCUGAACUGGACCCCGCGAGCACCAGAGUCGGCGUAACUAUCGCCUGACAGGGUAUCUGAAGUAAAAGGGGCAUUUAAAUCAAACGGUAUUGAGAUGGAUUGGGUUAUGAAACAUAAUGGUCCAAAUGACGCUAGUGAUGGGACAGUACGACUUCGUGGACUACCAUUUGGUUGCAGCAAAGAGGAAAUAGUUCAGUUCUUUCAAGGGUUGGAAAUCGUGCCAAAUGGGAUAACAUUGACGAUGGACUACCAGGGGAGAAGCACAGGGGAGGCCUUCGUGCAGUUUGCUUCAAAGGAGAUAGCAGAAAAUGCUCUGGGGAAACACAAGGAAAGAAUAGGGCACAGGUAUAUUGAGAUCUUCAGAAGUAGCAGGAGUGAAAUCAAAGGAUUUUAUGAUCCACCAAGAAGAUUGCUGGGACAGCGACCGGGACCAUAUGAUAGACCAAUAGGAGGAAGAGGGGGUUAUUAUGGAGCUGGGCGUGGAAGUAUGUAUGACAGAAUGCGACGAGGAGGUGAUG
Molecule: small RNA, 566 nt
Filed under: Pan troglodytes (chimpanzee)
Lineage: Eukaryota; Metazoa; Chordata; Mammalia; Primates; Hominidae
Description: processed transcript
Source: RNAcentral